UUUCAAAAUUCCUGGGGUUGACUGUUGUUGACAGAUCUCACAUUUUUCGUAUCGAUAAAAGCAGCGCCAUAUAGAAAGAUUCUAUUAUACGGCUCUGGAUAAAGACCUUUGUCCUGACCUGCAUUGUAUUAAUUGGAAAACGAUAAAGCACAAUGUCUUCAAAGAUUCCAAGAAGUGUGCAGCUCCAUACAGGAACAAAGACAACUGGUGACAACGUGACAAGGAAAAAUGUUGCUCCCAAAGUCCCCAAAGGGUCAUCCACCAGGUAUGGGCAACAGGCAGGGCUCAAGGAUCAGAACCAGCAUCUGAUGGCUACCAACAAGGAGCUGCAGAAAAACCUUUCAGAG
Notothenia coriiceps (black rockcod) is the source of this 347-nucleotide long non-coding RNA. RefSeq lists it as uncharacterized. The record is from RefSeq and is a predicted model, not a curated record. NCBI's taxonomy places the organism in Eukaryota, Metazoa, Chordata, Actinopteri, Perciformes, Nototheniidae. The transcript has 5 exons.